This 389-nucleotide ribosomal RNA is filed under the name uncultured Oscillibacter sp. RNAcentral's name for it is "bacterial SSU rRNA". It matches the Rfam family "Bacterial small subunit ribosomal RNA", at positions 352 to 738 of the family's 1533-position model. The record is from RNAcentral. Lineage: Bacteria; Bacillati; Bacillota; Clostridia; Eubacteriales; Oscillospiraceae.
UGAGGGAAUAUUUGGGUCAAUGGACGCAAGUCUGAACCAGCCAUGCCGCGUGAAGGAAUAAGGCCCUAUGGGUCGUAAACUUCUUUUGUAUGUGAGCAAUAAGGUCCACGUGUGGACCGAUGAGAGUAGCAUACGAAUAAGCCACGGCUAACUACGUGCCAGCAGCCGCGGUAAUACGUAGGUGGCAAGCGUUGUCCGGAUUUACUGGGUGUAAAGGGCGUGUAGCCGGGAGGGCAAGUCAGAUGUGAAAUCCACGGGCUCAACUCGUGAACUGCAUUUGAAACUACUCUUCUUGAGUAUCGGAGAGGCAAUCGGAACUCCUAGUGUAGCGGUGAAAUGCGUAGAUAUUAGGAGGAACACCAGUGGCGAAGGCGGAUUGCUGGACGACA